UUACAUCAAUUGUGACGUCAU
This 21-nucleotide non-coding RNA is filed under the name Caenorhabditis elegans. Lineage: Eukaryota; Metazoa; Nematoda; Chromadorea; Rhabditida; Rhabditidae. The record is from RNAcentral.